GAUGAACGCUGGCGGCGUGCUUAACACAUGCAAGUCGAACGGGAAACCUUUUAUUGAAGCUUCGGCAGAUUUAGCUGGUUUCUAGUGGCAGACGGGUGAGUAACGCGUGGGUAACCUGCCUUAUACAGGGGGAUAACAACCAGAAAUGGUUGCUAAUACCGCAUAAGCGCACAGGACCGCAUGGUCCGGUGUGAAAAACUCCGGUGGUAUAAGAUGGACCCGCGUUGGAGUAGCUAGUUGGCAGGGUAACGGCCUACCAAGGCGACGAUCCAUAGCCGGCCUGAGAGGGUGAACGGCCACAUUGGGACUGAGACACGGCCCAGACUCCUACGGGAGGCAGCAGUGGGGAAUAUUGCACCAUGGGGGAAACCCUGAUGCAGCGACGCCGCGUGAAGGAAGAAGUAUCUCGGUAUGUAAACUUCUAUCAGCAGGGAAGAUAGUGACGGUACCUGACUAAGAAGCCCCGGCUAACUACGUG
This 478-nucleotide ribosomal RNA is filed under the name uncultured bacterium. RNAcentral's name for it is "partial 16S ribosomal RNA". It matches the Rfam family "Bacterial small subunit ribosomal RNA", at positions 28 to 507 of the family's 1533-position model. The record is from RNAcentral.